Molecule: ribosomal RNA, 1240 nt
Filed under: Pediococcus pentosaceus
Lineage: Bacteria; Bacillati; Bacillota; Bacilli; Lactobacillales; Lactobacillaceae
Description: bacterial SSU rRNA
Rfam family: Bacterial small subunit ribosomal RNA
Source: RNAcentral
CAAGGGACGGGCGCGUGCCUAUACAUGCAGUCGAACGAACUUCCGUUAAUUGAUUAUGACGUACUUGUACUGAUUGAGAUUUUAACACGAAGUGAGUGGCGAACGGGUGAGUAACACGUGGGUAACCUGCCCAGAAGUAGGGGAUAACACCUGGAAACAGAUGCUAAUACCGUAUAACAGAGAAAACCGCAUGGUUUUCUUUUAAAAGAUGGCUCUGCUAUCACUUCUGGAUGGACCCGCGGCGUAUUAGCUAGUUGGUGAGGUAAAGGCUCACCAAGGCAGUGAUACGUAGCCGACCUGAGAGGGUAAUCGGCCACAUUGGGACUGAGACACGGCCCAGACUCCUACGGGAGGCAGCAGUAGGGAAUCUUCCACAAUGGACGCAAGUCUGAUGGAGCAACGCCGCGUGAGUGAAGAAGGGUUUCGGCUCGUAAAGCUCUGUUGUUAAAGAAGAACGUGGGUAAGAGUAACUGUUUACCCAGUGACGGUAUUUAACCAGAAAGCCACGGCUAACUACGUGCCAGCAGCCGCGGUAAUACGUAGGUGGCAAGCGUUAUCCGGAUUUAUUGGGCGUAAAGCGAGCGCAGGCGGUCUUUUAAGUCUAAUGUGAAAGCCUUCGGCUCAACCGAAGAAGUGCAUUGGAAACUGGGAGACUUGAGUGCAGAAGAGGACAGUGGAACUCCAUGUGUAGCGGUGAAAUGCGUAGAUAUAUGGAAGAACACCAGUGGCGAAGGCGGCUGUCUGGUCUGCAACUGACGCUGAGGCUCGAAAGCAUGGGUAGCGAACAGGAUUAGAUACCCUGGUAGUCCAUGCCGUAAACGAUGAUUACUAAGUGUUGGAGGGUUUCCGCCCUUCAGUGCUGCAGCUAACGCAUUAAGUAAUCCGCCUGGGGAGUACGACCGCAAGGUUGAAACUCAAAAGAAUUGACGGGGGCCCGCACAAGCGGUGGAGCAUGUGGUUUAAUUCGAAGCUACGCGAAGAACCUUACCAGGUCUUGACAUCUUCUGACAGUCUAAGAGAUUAGAGGUUCCCUUCGGGGACAGAAUGACAGGUGGUGCAUGGUUGUCGUCAGCUCGUGUCGUGAGAUGUUGGGUUAAGUCCCGCAACGAGCGCAACCCUUAUUACUAGUUGCCAGCAUUAAGUUGGGCACUCUAAUGAGACUGCCGGUGACAAACCGGAAGGAAGGUGGGGGACGACGUCAAAUCAUCAUGCCCCUUAUGACCUGGGCUACCACCGUGGC